RNAcentral lists this unclassified non-coding RNA (250 nucleotides) under fungal sp. RNAcentral describes it as "partial internal transcribed spacer region". The stretch from base 1 to 46 matches the Rfam family "Eukaryotic small subunit ribosomal RNA", at positions 1786 to 1831 of the family's 1831-position model. The record is from RNAcentral. Lineage: Eukaryota; Fungi.
AAGUCGUAACAAGGUUUCCGUAGGUGAACCUGCGGAAGGAUCAUUAACACUUUUAUCCACGUGUCUAAACAUCCGUUUAGACAUAAACCCCCUUAUAGCGAACUAGGUCAUUCCGUCAUUUUUUCUCUUUUUCUUUUAUUCACUUUUAAACCCAAUUGAACUUUCUAGACUGAAACUUUGUUGUAGGUGAAAGCUUACAUCGAAAAAAUAAAAUUCUAAACAACUCUUAACAACGGAUAUCUUGGUUCUC